AGGAACGACAUCUUCAGCGAGUCCAACAACAUCAGGAGUGACUACUUCGACAAGCCCAUCAACAACAGGUCCAACUCCUCCACCACCUGUUUCUACCACAGG
Erpetoichthys calabaricus (reedfish) is the source of this 102-nucleotide long non-coding RNA. RefSeq lists it as uncharacterized. Lineage: Eukaryota; Metazoa; Chordata; Cladistia; Polypteriformes; Polypteridae. The record is from RefSeq and is a predicted model, not a curated record. The transcript has 3 exons.